AGUAGCGAAAGACGGGUGAGAAUCCCGUCCACCGAUUGACUAAGGUUUCCAGAGGAAGGCUCGUCCGCUCUGGGUUAGUCGGGUCCUAAGCUGAGGCCGACAGGCGUAGGCGAUGGAUAACAGGUUGAUAUUCCUGUACCACCUAGUAUCGUUUUAAUCGAUGGGGGGACGCAGUAGGAUAGGCGAAGCGUGCUAUUGGAUUGCACGUCCAAGCAGUAAGACUGAGUGUUAGGCAAAUCCGGCACUCAUAAGGUCAAGCUGUGAUGGGGAGAGGAAAUUGUUUCCUCGAGUCGUUGAUUUCACACUGCCAAGAAAAGCCUCUAGAUAGAUAACAGGUGCCCGUACCGCAAACCGACACAGGUAGUCAAGAUGAGAAUUCUAAGGUGAGCGAGCGAACUCUCGUUAAGGAACUCGGCAAAAUGACCCCGUAACUUCGGGAGAAGGGGUGCUCUUUAGGGUUAACGCCCAGAAGAGCCGCAGUGAAUAGGCCCAAGCGACUGUUUAUCAAAAACACAGGUCUCUGCUAAACCGUAAGGUGAUGUAUAGGGGCUGACGCCUGCCCGGUGCUGGAAGGUUAAGAGGAGUAGUUAGCUUCUGCGAAGCUACGAAUCGAAGCCCCAGUAAACGGCGGCCGUAACUAUAACGGUCCUAAGGUAGCGAAAUUCCUUGUCGGGUAAGUUCCGACCCGCACGAAAGGCGUAACGAUUUGGGCACUGUCUCAACGAGAGACUCGGUGAAAUCAUAGUACCUGUGAAGAUGCAGGUUACCCGCGACAGGACGGAAAGACCCCGUGGAGCUUUACUGUAGCCUGAUAUUGAAAUUCGGCACAGCUUGUACAGGAUAGGUAGGAGCCUUUGAAACGUGAGCGCUAGCUUACGUGGAGGCAUUGGUGGGAUACUACCCUAGCUGUGUUGGCUUUCUAACCCGCACCACUUAUCGUGG
This 942-nucleotide ribosomal RNA is filed under the name Listeria monocytogenes. RNAcentral's name for it is "partial 23S ribosomal RNA". It matches the Rfam family "Bacterial large subunit ribosomal RNA", at positions 1305 to 2244 of the family's 2925-position model. Lineage: Bacteria; Bacillati; Bacillota; Bacilli; Caryophanales; Listeriaceae. The record is from RNAcentral.